CAGUAGCCACGGUAAUACGAAGGGGGCUAGCGUUGCUCGGAAUGACUGGGCGUAAAGGGCGCGUAGGCGGCGAUCAAAGUCAGGCGUGAAAUUCCUGGGCUCAACCUGGGGGCUGGCAAUGGAUACUGGCGAGCUAGAGUGUGUCAGAGGAUGGUGGAAUUCCCGGUGUAGCGGUGAAAUGCGUAGAGAUCGGGAGGAACAUCAGUGGCGAAGGCGGCCAUCUGGGACAACACUGACGCUGAGGCACGAAAGCGUGGGGAGCAAACAGGAUUAGAUACCCGUGUAGUCCCUGUCUCUUAUU
Molecule: ribosomal RNA, 301 nt
Filed under: uncultured bacterium
Lineage: Bacteria
Description: partial 16S ribosomal RNA
Rfam family: Bacterial small subunit ribosomal RNA
Source: RNAcentral